GAUGAACGCUGGCGGCGUGCUUAACACAUGCAAGUCGAACGAAGCACUCUAUUUGAUUUUCUUCGGAAUUGAAGAUUUUGUGACUGAGUGGCGGACGGGUGAGUAACGCGUGGGUAACCUGCCUCAUACAGGGGGAUAACAGUUGGAAACGACUGCUAAUACCGCAUAAGCGCACGGUAUUGCAUGAUACAGUGUGAAAAACUCCGGUGGUAUGAGAUGGACCCGCGUCUGAUUAGCUAGUUGGUGGGGUAACGGCCUAUAAAGGGGACGAUCAGUAUCCGACCGGAGUGGGUGACCGGCCACAUUGGGACUGAGACACGGCCCAAAGUCCUACGGGAGGCAGCAGGGGUGAAUAUUGCACAAUGGGGGAAACCCUGAUGCAGCGACGCCGCGUGAACGAAGAAGUAUUUCGGUAUGUAAAGUUCUAUUAGCAGGGAAGAUAAUGACGGUACCUGACUAAGAAGCACCGGCUAAAUACGUGCCAGCCGCCGCCGUAA
This 497-nucleotide ribosomal RNA is filed under the name uncultured bacterium. RNAcentral's name for it is "partial 16S ribosomal RNA". It matches the Rfam family "Bacterial small subunit ribosomal RNA", at positions 28 to 523 of the family's 1533-position model. The record is from RNAcentral.